Molecule: ribosomal RNA, 252 nt
Filed under: uncultured bacterium
Lineage: Bacteria
Description: partial 16S ribosomal RNA
Rfam family: Bacterial small subunit ribosomal RNA
Source: RNAcentral
UACGGAGGAUGCGAGCGUUAUCCGGAUUUAUUGGGUUUAAAGGGUGCGUAGGCGGCGAGUUAAGUCAGCGGUAAAAGCCCGGGGCUCAACCCCGGCCCGCCGUUGAAACUGGCUGGCUUGAGUUGGCGAGAAGUACGCGGAAUGCGCGGUGUAGCGGUGAAAUGCAUAGAUAUAUGGAAGAACACCAGUGGCGAAAGCGGCUCUCUGGUCUGUAACUGACGCUGAGGUUCGAAAGCGUGGGUAGCAAACAGG